RNAcentral lists this long non-coding RNA (657 nucleotides) under Nicotiana benthamiana. RNAcentral's name for it is "long non-coding RNA (NBEN_LNC035980)". Lineage: Eukaryota; Viridiplantae; Streptophyta; Magnoliopsida; Solanales; Solanaceae. The record is from RNAcentral.
CAUCUCUUGUGCUUCUUUAUAUUACGAUAAAUGCUUAUUUGUUCCGUUUGAUAGCUUCAAAGGAUGCCAGCUUGCUUCUUGUUUAUUUGCUUGAGCUGGGGCACACCCCCUUCUGAUGUCUUUUGAGUUAACCAAAAAGUAGCAUAUUGUUGCCUGUUUCCAUUCUAAAAAUUUCUUUUUCAGACUUCUAUACUAACUAAAACUGAUUGCUUCAUGCUCAUUGUGUUUGAGCUAAGUAGAUGUACGUAAACUCAUCACCCAUGGAUAUUUGGGAGCAAUUUCCCAGAUUGACCAUACUUUCUCCUUAUACUGGUUACAUCUCUCUAAGCAAAAUCCUUGCUUUAUUUCAUUCAACAUCUUUAUCGUCCCAUCAAUUGUUACAGGAUCGCCAGAGACCAAACUUUCCAUGGCUGCUAAUGAUGUGAAAGUGUUAGUGGCAAGGACUGUUGGUUCAUCACUGAUCAACAUCCCAAGUUAAAUUUAUCGUCCCAUCAAUUGUUACAGGAUCGCCAGAGACCAAACUUUCCAUGGCUGCUUUCCUUGGUGAGCUGGUUCUUAAUAAUGAUGUGAAAGUGUUAGUGGCAAGGACUGUUGGUUCAUCACUGAUCAACAUCAUGAAACAUGGUAACAUGUCAUCAAGAGAGGCUGCUUUAAAAU